RNAcentral lists this ribosomal RNA (590 nucleotides) under Cortinarius sp. 1 RB-2011. Its description in RNAcentral is "eukaryotic LSU rRNA". The stretch from base 233 to 386 matches the Rfam family "5.8S ribosomal RNA". The record is from RNAcentral. Lineage: Eukaryota; Fungi; Basidiomycota; Agaricomycetes; Agaricales; Cortinariaceae.
CUUGGUCAUUUAGAGGAAGUAAAAGUCGUAACAAGGUUUCCGUAGGUGAACCUGCGGAAGGAUCAUUAUUGAAAUAAAUCUGAUGGGUUGUUGCUGGUUCCCUAGGGAGCAUGUGCACGCCUUGUCAUCUUUAUAUCUCCACCUGUGCACUUUUUGUAGACCUUUCAGGUCUAUGUUGCUUCAUUUACCCCAAUGUAUGUCAAUAGAAUGUUGUGCCUAUUUUAAUAUAUACAACUUUCAGCAACGGAUCUCUUGGCUCUCGCAUCGAUGAAGAACGCAGCGAAAUGCGAUAAGUAAUGUGAAUUGCAGAAUUCAGUGAAUCAUCGAAUCUUUGAACGCACAUUGCGCCCCUUGGUAUUCCGAGGGGCGUGCCUGUUCGAGCGUCAUUAUGACCACUCAAGCCUAGCUUGGUAUUGGGGUUCGCGGUCUUGCGGCCCCUAAAAUCAGUGGCGGUGCCGUCUGGCUCUAAGCGUAGUAAUUUUCUCGCUAUGGGGUCUGGAUAGUUACUUGCCAAAACCUCAACUUCUCACGGUUGACCUCGGAUCAGGUAGGGAUACCCGCUGAACUUAAGCAUAUCAAUAAGCGGAGGA